GACGAACGCUGGCGGCGUGCCUAAUACAUGCAAGUAGAACGCUGAAGGAGGAGCUUGCUCUUCUGGAUGAGUUGCGAACGGGUGAGUAACGCGUAGGUAACCUGCCUGGUAGCGGGGGAUAACUAUUGGAAACGAUAGCUAAUACCGCAUAACAGUAGAUGUUGCAUGACAUUUACUUAAAAGGUGCAAUUGCAUCACUACCAGAUGGACCUGCGUUGUAUUAGCUAGUUGGUGGGGUAACGGCUCACCAAGGCGACGAUACAUAGCCGACCUGAGAGGGUGAUCGGCCACACUGGGACUGAGACACGGCCCAGACUCCUACGGGAGGCAGCAGUAGGGAAUCUUCGGCAAUGGACGGAAGUCUGACCGAGCAACGCCGCGUGAGUGAAGAAGGGUUUCGGAUCGUAAAGCUCUGUUGUAAGAGAAGAACGAGUGUGAGAGUGGAAGGUUCACACUGUGACGGUAUCUUACCAGAAAGGGACGGCUAACUACGUG
Molecule: ribosomal RNA, 495 nt
Filed under: uncultured bacterium
Lineage: Bacteria
Description: partial 16S ribosomal RNA
Rfam family: Bacterial small subunit ribosomal RNA
Source: RNAcentral